GGCGGGCGGCCUACACAUGCAGUCGAGCGGAACGAGUUAUCUGAACCUUCGGGGAACGAUAACGGCGUCGAGCGGCGGACGGGUGAGUAAUGCCUAGGAAAUUGCCCUGAUGUGGGGGAUAACCAUUGGAAACGAUGGCUAAUACCGCAUGAUGCCUACGGGCCAAAGAGGGGGACCUUCGGGCCUCUCGCGUCAGGAUAUGCCUAGGUGGGAUUAGCUAGUUGGUGAGGUAAGGGCUCACCAAGGCGACGAUCCCUAGCUGGUCUGAGAGGAUGAUCAGCCACACUGGAACUGAGACACGGUCCAGACUCCUACGGGAGGCAGCAGUGGGGAAUAUUGCACAAUGGGCGCAAGCCUGAUGCAGCCAUGCCGCGUGUGUGAAGAAGGCCUUCGGGUUGUAAAGCACUUUCAGUCGUGAGGAAGGUGGUGGAGUUAAUAGCUGUAUCAUUUGACGUUAGCGACAGAAGAAGCACCGGCUAACUCCGUGCCAGCAGCCGCGGUAAUACGGAGGGUGCGAGCGUUAAUCGGAAUUACUGGGCGUAAAGCGCAUGCAGGUGGUUUGUUAAGUCAGAUGUGAAAGCCCGGGGCUCAACCUCGGAAUAGCAUUUGAAACUGGCAGACUAGAGUACUGUAGAGGGGGGUAGAAUUUCAGGUGUAGCGGUGAAAUGCGUAGAGAUCUGAAGGAAUACC
This 690-nucleotide ribosomal RNA is filed under the name Vibrio sp. RNAcentral's name for it is "bacterial SSU rRNA". It matches the Rfam family "Bacterial small subunit ribosomal RNA", at positions 41 to 710 of the family's 1533-position model. The record is from RNAcentral. Lineage: Bacteria; Pseudomonadati; Pseudomonadota; Gammaproteobacteria; Vibrionales; Vibrionaceae.